AGCUAACCCAUCAGCAAGAUGAUU
RNAcentral lists this non-coding RNA (24 nucleotides) under Arabidopsis thaliana (thale cress). Lineage: Eukaryota; Viridiplantae; Streptophyta; Magnoliopsida; Brassicales; Brassicaceae. The record is from RNAcentral.